This is an RNA transcript of Brassica napus (rape), 3156 nucleotides long. It is a transcript of the gene named probable ion channel POLLUX, with no coding region annotated. Lineage: Eukaryota; Viridiplantae; Streptophyta; Magnoliopsida; Brassicales; Brassicaceae. The transcript is spliced from 12 exons. The record is from RefSeq and is a predicted model, not a curated record.
UAACAUAAUAGUUGGCAACACUUAACUAGUCUGGACCACUUCUACGGAGGUCAUGAUAUCAAUGUAUAAUUCAAAAAUAAAAAUAAAAAAUAGCUUUGAAAUAAUCUUAUAACUAACAUGGUAAAAACUGAUCGGUCUAAAUUGUAUCAUUUCUUAGGGUCGAUCAAUCUUUGGAAUAUUGCAAAUGUUCAUCUUGCGAGUCCUGAUGCUAUUAUCCCUUGAAAUGGAAAAUCAUUGACUAUAUAGAUCAACUCGCCUUUGACUAUUGUAAGAAUAUAUUAGCUUCUUAUACAACUAUCUUUACCACUCUUUUGUUGAUAUUUUACAACAAGAGUAAGGUAAGUUAACCGAAGAUUUUUAUUCUAAAUUGGGUAAUCAAAGGCCUUCUCCCUCCAUUUACUUUUUCAUUAAUUUAUUUAAAAAAACUGUUGACAAAAUAGUGAAAAGACAAAAGAAAAUUACACUGAAGAAGAAGCUCUCUCCAGAUCUCUUCCAUGGCGACCUUGAUUCAUUGUCAGUGAUCACCUCUCUCAGUUUCUAUAUCUCAAGCGAUGCCGAAUCAUAGCUCUAGAAGCUCGGAGAAGUCGUCUCUGUUCCGGAGAUCCAAAACGUUGCCGACGGGAUCAUACCGAAGAUUUACAACUCCUCUGGUUCCAACUUACAGAUACGACUCCGCCUCUGAUCUUCGACGGGACGGUGACGGUGGCAGCUGCGACAGUGACACCACUAACUCCGCGGUGGCGGUGCUGAACUCUGAAUCGGCGCCGAGUCAAGUUUUGGCGACUCAAUCACCGAGUCAAAGGAUAACUAAGCUGUGGACUCAUUUUUCUCUUACUCAUUGUCUCAAAUUCAUUUGUUCAUUUUCUUUUCUUUAUGUGAUGUUUCUUCGAGCUAAAGUUGCAAAACUAGAGGCAGAGAACUCCAUCCUUUUAACAAGAUGUAGCAGAAGCAGUAGCAACAACGAGAAUCCACAGAUGGAAGAUGUUAAUAAUAGAGCUGUUGUUUUAUACAGUGUGAUUAUGACUAUAGCCUUACCCAUUUUGUUGUACAUGUAUCUAGACGAUCUCUCAUACGUCAAGAAUCUACUGAAACGAACAAACAAGAAGAAGAAAGAAGAAGAGGUUCCCUUGAAGAAAAGAAUAGCUUAUUCAUUGGAUGUGUGUUUUUCAGUAUAUCCAUAUGCUAAGCUACUCGCCCUUCUCUUCGCAACGGUAGUUCUUAUAGUAUACGGUGGCUUAGCGUUGUAUGCAGUCAGCGAUUGUGGGGUGGAUGAAGCCCUUUGGCUUUCGUGGACUUUUGUGGCGGAUUCAGGGAACCACGCUGAUAGGAUAGGCGUCGGACCGAGGAUAGUUUCCGUGGCUAUAAGCGCAGGAGGCAUGUUGAUAUUCGCUACAAUGCUUGGACUCAUUUCAGAUGCUAUCUCGAAGAUGGUGGAUUCUCUGAGGAAAGGGAAAAGUGAAGUCCUUGAAAGCAAUCAUAUACUAAUACUUGGAUGGAGUGACAAAUUGGGUUCCCUUUUGAAGCAGCUGGCAAUAGCAAAUAAAAGCAUUGGUGGAGGUGUUGUAGUGGUGCUAGCGGAAAGAGACAAGGAAGAGAUGGAGAAUGAUAUUGCCAAAUUCGAAUUUGAUUUGAUGGGAACAUCAGUUAUAUGUAGAAGUGGUAGUGCACUUAUACUCGCUGAUUUAAAGAAGGUUUCAGUUUCAAAUGCGCGUGCUAUCAUUGUACUUGGAUCUGAUGAAAACGCUGAUCAGAGCGAUGCACGUGCGUUAAGGGUGGUUCUCAGUCUAACGGGAGUGAAGGAGGGUUUGAAAGGGCAUGUUGUGGUUGAAAUGUGUGAUCUUGACAACGAGCCAUUGGUAAAGCUUGUUGGUGGGGAGCGCAUUGAAACAGUUGUAGCUCAUGAUGUGAUUGGACGCUUAAUGAUACAAUGCGCUCUUCAACCUGGCCUUGCGCAGAUAUGGGAGGAUAUAUUGGGCUUUGAGAAUGCUGAAUUUUACAUAAAGAAGUGGCCUCAGCUUGAUGGUCGCCGUUUUGAAGAUGUCCUCCUUUCAUUUCCAAAUGCUAUUCCCUGCGGAGUGAAGAUUGCAGUGGAUGGGAAAAUAGUUUUGAAUCCGAGUGACAACUAUGUUCUGGAAGAAGGAGAUGAAAUACUUGUUAUAGCCGAGGAUGAUGACACUUAUGCUCCUGGUUCACUUCCUGAGGUGCGGAUGUGUCAUUUUCCAAAAAUGCAGAAUCCCCCAAAAUAUCCAGAGAAAAUACUAUUUUGUGGUUGGCGCCGUGACAUUGAUGAUAUGAUCAAGGUGCUAGAAGCUCUGCUUGCGCCUGGAUCAGAGUUGUGGAUGUUUAAUGAGGUUCCAGAUCAGGAAAGAGAGAAAAAGCUGACAGAUGCAGGAUUGAAUAUAUCCAAAUUGGUGAAUAUAAGUCUUGUGCAUAGGCAGGGAAAUGCAGUCAUUAGGCGUCAUUUAGAGAGUUUACCUCUAGAAACUUUUGACUCGAACAGUCACUGGAAAACUCUAUUGUUCAUUCAGACUCCCGAUCUCUUGCCACGCUUCUCCUUAUUCGAGAUAUACAGUCUAAACGGCUUCCCUGCAAAGAUUCAAAAUCAAACGUGUUCCCAAGUAGCUGUUGGAUCCGUAAAAUGCAGCAAGCUUCAGAUAAAUCCAUUGUGAUAAGUGAAAUUCUGGACUCAAGAACAAAGAACCUUGUCUCUGUCUCCAGAAUAAGUGAUUACGUACUAUCCAACGAGCUAGUUAGUAUGGCUCUUGCUAUGGUCGCAGAAGAUAAACAAAUAAACCGUGUUUUGGAAGAGCUUUUCGCUGAGAAGGGUAACGAAUUGUGCAUAAGACCUGCAGAAUUCUACAUAUAUGACCAAGAAGAGGUUUGCUUCUAUGAUAUAAUGAGAAGGGCUCGUCAAAGACAAGAAAUCAUAAUCGGUUAUCGCCUUGCGGGUAUGGACCAAGCUGUUAUAAAUCCUUCAGAUAAAUCAAAGCUUAGAAAAUGGUCGCUUGAUGAUGUUUAUGUAGUCAUUGCUUCAUGUCAGUAACUAACAAAACCGUAGAUGACCUCUUCAUGUGUUAACACCUAAUCUCUGAGUAAUAGAGAUUUGCUUAUCAGAGCAACCAAAAAAAAACAAGAAUAUAAACCAUUUGCAUUUUA